GGUGACGGUUCAGUCCGUUUCAGUGGCUCGUGAUUUUAAGGAGCUGAUUUUUCAGUCAAGUUUGGUGAUUCCUCGCCCCGCUAUUAAUUAUUUUGAAACACAGCUUAUUCUGUCCUGUUCGAUUUUUUGCUGAGUCGCUUUGAAGUCGAAAGAAGAAACUCGUAUCCGUUGUCAUUGUGCGAGUUUCGAAAGCCGUUUUCCCGUGAUAUUUCCAUGAUAUUUGGUUUGAAGACAUCAUUUUGGAAGUCAGUUUGUUCAUAAAUCAUUUGGUGUUAAUUCGGUCUCCAGUUUCACAACGUGUCUGUUAUAAAUUUACGAGUCGCUGAAGUAAUUAUGUUGUGGUCUCUCCAAAAUUCGUCAAGGCUGAGUACGAAGACUGAGAAUUUUCACUUGGCAUCAGAAUUGUUCCUGAAUUCACGGAUCAUCGCUUCAUCACGGUAAAAUCUCUCCAACUCCUUCCUGCUCUCAGAAUUAGGUAAUUGCGAACGAAUCGACCAUUUGUCUAUACUCUCAAUUUUUCAAAGUGAGAUGGUACAGUAUUCUUCCUCACCACUGAUACAAGCAGUCACCAUUUGGGUGGAUUUUAGUCAUAUCAGUCUAACUUCAUUCCACGUUGCCUAUAAUUGAAUCUCUCAGUUCGAAAACUACUGAACUCUGCACGGUGCUCCUGAGGGGGGUUUAAAUCGAAGUUCGUCAUGAACGAAAAAUUUGAGCUGGAAUGUCAAGAGGAGGACUCCCAGACACUAAAAACUACAAUUUCGAAACAGGUUGUUGGAGCUCCUGGAGAAA
Non-coding RNA from Bemisia tabaci, 789 nucleotides. The record is from RefSeq and is a predicted model, not a curated record. NCBI's taxonomy places the organism in Eukaryota, Metazoa, Arthropoda, Insecta, Hemiptera, Aleyrodidae.